AGCGAGGUGGGGAAGCCAGGUUAUCCCGGCGGGCUCAUAACCCGCAGAGCGGUUGUUCAAAUCAACCCCUCGCUACCA
Molecule: transfer RNA, 78 nt
Filed under: Thermoproteota archaeon
Lineage: Archaea; Thermoproteati; Thermoproteota
Description: tRNA-Met
Source: RNAcentral